AUAAGCCCAAUAGUUCAAAUCACUUUUUUUUUUUUUCUUUUUUGUUUAAUCACAUUUUUCUUGUGAAUCCCCACUAUUAAGAGCUUAUGAGUUUUAUUUUUAAUGAUUUUAAUUAUUGGGUAAUUACAGCUCCAUAAUUGUCCACCUACUUUAUGUCACCAAUCAUGCUCAAAAGACUACUUGACCUUUAAGUCUUUAACAAAAGAUUUGAGGAAUGGAGAUUACUAGCCUUUUUUUGCUUUCAAUAAUGUUUGUUAUUAAGAUUUUGAAUUACUCUUUUGAAUUCAUACUCCAAUUGAAGUGGUAACCUAACCUAAUAAUUGGGUUCUUGAACAUAAGAUUUAAAUGAUACAUCAAUAAUUAAAAACGAGGGGAGUGUUAAAGGUGACUUAUCAACUUGUUAAAGGUGACUUAUCACUUUCAUUGGGCUUAUUGUACGAUCAUCUGUUGUCACUUGUCAAUUGAUUGAAUUCAUCAAUAUGUAAUGGAGUGACACUCAAAUACAAUUCAAGAAUAUAUGCUACUAAAAGAGCCUCCAGGUGUGAAACCCCCACACCCGGGUUCGAAUCUCGCUGAGGCUGAUUGAAGUUAAAUCCCAAUAUAUUCUUAGUAGCGUUCUAACAUGAUUUCCCAGCACGGAUUAAUCUCUGGACCUAGGAAGCCUUUAAGAAACCGUGUGAUCUCGAUAUAUAUAUGCUACUCAAAAGCAAUUGAUAAAACACGUCGACUAUCAUGCAUAUAUAAAUCACAAAAAAACUCCAGCAGUACACAAAUUAUGACUAAUCUUGUAUCACCACUAAAUACACACCUGACAUCAACUCAAUAAAAACUAACUUUCCCUUUAUUUACUCCAACAGGUGCUCACUAACUGCAAUGUGUUCAUCUACAUUUCGCAAAUCAGUUUAUAACAAACUGAGCAGUGAGCACCAGAUACCCUUCCAGAAUUGUAUAAGCAUACCAACUCAACACUAGUCCUCACAAAAGCCGAACUGUUGCAUGGCAGAACCAACCGAGCCAUUUCAAUUCAAAAUCCUAAACAAAGCUACUGUAAUCCCAAUAAAGAUUCCAACUUUAACUUGGAGGUGAAUACCCAGAUGCCUAAAACCCAAUAAAGAUGCCCUUAAAACCUAAAUAAAAAAGACCCAUAUAGAAAAAACAGACCCCAUUGCUACUUCUUAUAAAAAUAUAUGGAUAACACAAAUUAUGGACACCAAAAAUCAGAGUAAUACUAAACAGAAUUAUAUAAAAAAAAAAAUAUGCAGUAGCUUUGUUCAAUAAAAUAUGCAGAAGAUUUGAGAGAGAAA
Molecule: long non-coding RNA, 1304 nt
Organism: Rosa rugosa (rugosa rose)
Lineage: Eukaryota; Viridiplantae; Streptophyta; Magnoliopsida; Rosales; Rosaceae
Exons: 2
Source: RefSeq, a predicted model, not a curated record